RNAcentral lists this ribosomal RNA (838 nucleotides) under uncultured bacterium. Its description in RNAcentral is "bacterial SSU rRNA". It matches the Rfam family "Bacterial small subunit ribosomal RNA", at positions 37 to 884 of the family's 1533-position model. The record is from RNAcentral.
CCCCUGCGUCUAUUACUAAUGCAGUCUGAGCGGUAAGGCUCCUUCGGGAGUACACGAGCGGCGAACGGGUGAGUAACACGUGAGCAAUCUGCCCUUCUCAUCGGAAUAACCAUUGGAAACGAUGGCUAAUGCCGAAUAUGACCUCGGAACACAUGUUCUGAGGUGGAAAGCUCCGGCGGAGAAGGAUGAGCUCGCGGCCUAUCAGCUUGUUGGUGAGGUAAUGGCUCACCAAGGCAUUGACGGGUAGCCGGCCUGAGAGGGUGACCGGCCACACUGGGACUGAGACACGGCCCAGACUCCUACGGGAGGCAGCAGUGGGGAAUAUUGGACAAUGGGCGAAAGCCUGAUCCAGCAACGCCGCGUGAGGGAUGACGGCCUUCGGGUUGUAAACCUCUUUCAGCAGGGACGAAGCGAAAGUGACGGUACCUGCAGAAGAAGGACCGGCCAACUACGUGCCAGCAGCCGCGGUAAUACGUAGGGUCCGAGCGUUGUCCGGAAUUAUUGGGCGUAAAGGGCUCGUAGGCGGUUUGUCACGUCGGGAGUGAAAACUCAGGGCUCAACCCUGAGCGUGCUUCCGAUACGGGCAGACUAGAGGUAUGCAGGGGAGAACGGAAUUCCUGGUGUAGCGGUGGAAUGCGCAGAUAUCAGGAGGAACACCGGUGGCGAAGGCGGGUUCUCUGGGCAUUACCUGACGCUGAGGAGCGGAAAGCAUGGGGAGCGAACCAGGAUUAGAUACCCUGGUAGUCCAUGCCGUAAACGGUUGGGCGCUAAGUGUGGGGACCUUCCCACAGGUCUCCGUGCCGCAGGUUACGCCAUUAAGCGCCCGCUGGGGAGUAAC